This 440-nucleotide ribosomal RNA is filed under the name uncultured bacterium. RNAcentral's name for it is "partial 16S ribosomal RNA". It matches the Rfam family "Bacterial small subunit ribosomal RNA", at positions 338 to 795 of the family's 1533-position model. The record is from RNAcentral.
CCUACGGGUGGCUGCAGUGGGGGAUAUUGCACAAUGGGGGGAACCCUGAUGCAGCGACGCCGCGUGGGUGAAGGAGCGUUUCGGCGCGUAAAGCCCUAUCGGCAGGGAAGAAGAUGACGGUACCUGACCAAGAAGCCCCGGCUAACUACGUGCCAGCAGCCGCGGUAAUACGUAGGGGGCAAGCGUUAUCCGGAAUUACUGGGUGUAAAGGGAGCGUAGACGGUUAAGUAAGUCUGGAGUGAAAGGCCGGGGCCCAACCCCGGGACUGCUCUGGAAACUGUGCAGCUGGAGUGCAGGAGAGGUAAGCGGAAUUCCUAGUGUAGCGGUGAAAUGCGUAGAUAUUAGGAGGAACACCAGUGGCGAAGGCGGCUUACUGGACUGUAACUGACGUUGAGGCUCGAAAGCGUGGGGAGCAAACAGGAUUAGAUACCCGAGUAGUC